RNAcentral lists this ribosomal RNA (48 nucleotides) under Inocybe cf. langei EL8306. Its description in RNAcentral is "partial 18S ribosomal RNA". Lineage: Eukaryota; Fungi; Basidiomycota; Agaricomycetes; Agaricales; Inocybaceae. The record is from RNAcentral.
UAAACCAGGGGUUUUCCCGUAGGGUGAACCCUGCGGAAGGAUUCAUUA